This is a long non-coding RNA of Parus major (Great Tit), 922 nucleotides long. RefSeq lists it as uncharacterized. The transcript is spliced from 2 exons. NCBI's taxonomy places the organism in Eukaryota, Metazoa, Chordata, Aves, Passeriformes, Paridae. The record is from RefSeq and is a predicted model, not a curated record.
UUGUUUGGGCCUUAAACAGUGCACGGUCUUUGUUCAGGAUACAGGUGAAUGACAAUCAUGUGAUUAACACACACUCGCGCACACACACGCACGCACAUAAAAAGCUUUUUAAGAGCGUCCAGCUUGCUCCAGACCCAAAGACGGGAGAGGAAGCCCGGGCUAGGAGGAGCUGAGGCGGCGGCGGUGGCCGGGAUGGGCACAGGCACUGGAAUGGAUGAGCGGGCACCACCUCCUCUUUGCAAAAUGCCCUUCAUGUGAAGUGUUGCUUCAUGGCUACACAGGAAGGCUUGAAAAUAUUGCAUGGUGACACGGCAGCUUUGCUUGUAAUGGAAAACAGCUCUGGUGAGCCAAGGAGAGAUCUUGGACACAUCUCUACUUUCCUGAGAAGGAGACCUUGGAGUGAUUCAUCCUCUUUCAUGACCCCCUGCCUCCUCUCUGCUCAGCUGCAUCAUGGGCAGCCCAUGUGACAACACCUGGUAGCACAGGGUGACUUAAGGCUCUGGUGAUGCAAAAUGGUCAACUCUGCCAUGUGAAGUACAGCACCUUCAGGGUACCCCUUCAGGUCAGCUCUGUUGUCCACGGCCACAGCAUGGACAACAACCUGAGCUCACCAGCCUGGCAGCAAGUAUAGGUCGGGCAGACGGCGACCUGCGUGCUGUGAAAACAGAGCUGUGCUGGAGUCAUGAGUUGCUUUUGCUGGCCAAAACAUAUCUCAUCAAAGCCUCCCCUCCUCCCCCCAGCACCAGGUCAGUGUAAAACCAGGCUUAAGCACCAGCCUGUGUCUCACCAUCCUCUGGGAGAUGCAUGGUGCCACUGGGAUGGACUCUGCCUGUGCCCUGCUCCCUGUGCCACCACCACUGCCACAAUGAGUGUGCCUUGUCAUAGAGGGGUUAAUAAAUGAUGCAAGAAAGAAGCCCUUUAA